RNAcentral lists this long non-coding RNA (1101 nucleotides) under Parus major (Great Tit). Its description in RNAcentral is "lncRNA (ENSPMJG00000009334.1)". Lineage: Eukaryota; Metazoa; Chordata; Aves; Passeriformes; Paridae. The record is from RNAcentral.
AUGCCAAGGAUGCUUUCAAAAAACCUCUUACCCCACUACCCCUUCGGCAGCAGCCCUGCAGCUUGACAAACUCCACUGGAACGCUUGUCUGCUUUUAAAAUGUCUUGAAUAUAUUGCAUGUAUUGGCCUGUCAUUGGUUUUCUCAAGCCCCCGCGAUACAGAGGGGUCUGCUGGGAGCAGUGUGGAAAUCCUUAAGUGAUGCUUUCCAGUUGACAGGACUGGAGGGCAGGCACUACCUGCUGUUAGGGGAGAAAGUCAACCCAGUUAUUAAUCCAUCAGCCAGAGGCUAAUGCAGAAUUGUUCCCCCACAGUGCUGCUUUCCAGUGCUUUGUCCAUUUAUGCCUGUGCUGGUGAAGGCCCUUCCCCUGCCUGCCUUCCCCCUUAGGAGCAUCCUUCUGAGAUGCAUUCUUCCUACCCUGGCAAUGCCUGGGAGUGCACAAAGCCUUUUUCUGUCUCCAGAUGUAACAGGUGGCAUAAAGAAGGCACAAAUGUAGCAAGGAUGAUCUAAAACAAUAAACUCCACCUGGCCUUAAUUUCCUACACCCCACUGCAACAGGAGUUUUGGAAACUCAAGGGAGGAGGACACAUGGAAGACUGAUGCUCAGGUGCGGAGCGAGCAGGAGUCAGGAUCUCCCUGUGCAUUGCCACUGAUGGUGUUUACAGAUCUGUGUUCUGCAGUUGAAUCCAGCUUGAGAGGCCAUCACCACAUGAAACAGGUUUUCCCCUCUGAAAAACCCACCGAAGACCAAGAACCCCAGUUCACACAAUGCUUUUGGCAUCAGUGGACUCCUCCUUACCACACAUCGAGCAACUCUGCAGCAGCAUGGCAGCUCUGCAUCCUGGCACAAUCAAGUGUGAAGGUGUAGGGACAUCAAGAAAAGCAAGCUGCAUGUUCCUCCCCCUUGGCUCGCCUCUCCUAGCACUGCGAGACACAGAAGUUGAAAGUUAAGCUUUUGAGUUACCAGCAAUUUCCACUUUGGUGCAUUAUUGCCUUUGCUGCAGUGCUUUUAUAAGGCUGUUUAUAAGACAAUAGACAAUGGGAGAAGUUGCUGGGGUUCCCAGUAGACAUAUGUUGACAAUAAACCCCUGUAACAGAGGUCA